Molecule: ribosomal RNA, 2297 nt
Filed under: feces metagenome
Description: bacterial LSU rRNA
Rfam family: Bacterial large subunit ribosomal RNA
Source: RNAcentral
AGGGCAAUUCGUGGAUGCCUUGGCGCAUACAGGCGAUGAAGGACGUGGCACGCUGCGAUAAGCGUCGGUGAGGUGUGAGCAACCUUUGACCCGACGAUUUCCGAAUGGGGAAACCCACCUGAUCCGAUUAUCUCGACCGCCAGCAAUGACGUUCGGGGUAAUUGGAAAAAGGUAUCACUUAGCUGAAUAAAAUAGGCUUCGUGAAGCGAACCCGGAGAACUGAAACAUCUCAGUACCCGGAGGAAAAGACAUCAACCGAGAUUCCGUUAGUAGUGGCGAGCGAACGCGGACCAGGCCAGUGCUUCUAAUUCAACUAGCAGAACGUUCUGGAAAGGACGGCCAUAGCGGGUGACAGCCCCGUAUGCGAAAGUGAUGUUAGAAGACUAGAGUAGGGCGGGACACGUGUAAUCCUGUCUGAAUAUAGGGGGACCACCCUCUAAGCCUAAAUACUCGUAUGCGACCGAUAGCGAACUAGUACCGUGAGGGAAAGGUGAAAAGCACCCCGAUGAGGGGAGUGAAACAGUACCUGAAACGGAUUGCCUACAAGCAGUUGGAGCCUCUUUAUGGGGUGACAGCGUACCUCUUGCAUAAUGGGUCUGUGACUUAAUGUACCAAGCAAGCUUAAGCCGAUAGGUGUAGGCGCAGCGAAAGCGAGUCUGAAUAGGGCGACUAAGUUUGGUGUAUUAGACCCGAAACCCGGCGAUCUAGGCAUGACCAGGAUGAAGGUGCGGUAACACGCACUGGAGGUCCGAACCGAUUAACGUUGAAAAGUUACCGGAUGAGUUGUGUUUAGGGGUGAAAGGCCAAUCAAGCCGGGAAAUAGCUGGUUCUCCGCGAAAACUAUUGAGGUAGUGCCUCGGACGAACACCCUAGGGGGUAGAGCACUGGAUGGAUGCGGGGGUCGCGAGAUCUACCAAUUCUAACCAAACUCCGAAUACCUAGGAGUGAUAUCCGGGAGACAGACGGCGGGUGCUAAGGUCCGUCGUCAAAAGGGAAACAGCCCUGACCUACAGCUAAGGUCCCCAAGUCACGUCUAAGUGGGAAAGCAUGUGGGAAUCCCAAAACAACCAGGAGGUUGGCUUAGAAGCAGCCAUCCUUUAAAGAAAGCGUAACAGCUCACUGGUCUAAAUAAGGGUUCCUGCGGCGAAGAUGUAACGGGGCUCAAGACGUGCACCGAAGCUUAGGGUGUGAUCGUUUACGAUCACGCGGUAGCGGAGCGUUCCGUAAGCCUGUGAAGCGAUCUGGUAAUGGGUCGUGGAGGUAUCGGAAGUGCGAAUGCAGACAUGAGUAGCGAUAAAAAGGGUGAGAUGCCCUUUCGCCGAAAGACCAAGGGUUCCUGCGCAAGGCUAAUCCGCGCAGGGUGAGCCGGCCCCUAAGACGAGCCCGAAGGGGGUAGUCGAUGGGAACCACGUUAAUAUUCGUGGGCCUGGUGGUGUGUGACGGAUGACGUGUGUUGUAUGCUCUUAUCGGAUUGAGCAUGCUUCGAAGUUGUCCCGGGAAAUAGCCCCACCGUAUAGACCGUACCCGAAACCGACACAGGUGGUCAGGUAGAGUAUACCAAGGCGCUUGAGAGAAGUGUCCUGAAGGAACUCGGCAAAUUGCCUCCGUACCUUCGGAAGAAGGAGGCCCUCAUUUUGCGCAAGCAGAUUGAGGGGGCACAGGCCAGGGGGUAGCGACUGUUUAGCAAAAACACAGGGCUCUGCUAAGUCGGCUUCAAGACGACGUAUAGGGCCUGACGCCUGCCCGGUGCCUGAAGGUUAAGUGGAGGGGUGCAAGCUCCGAAAUGAAGCCCAGGUAAACGGCGGCCGUAACUAUAACGGUCCUAAGGUAGCGAAAUUCCUUGUCGGGUAAGUUCCGACCUGCACGAAUGGCGUAACGACUUCCCCACUGUCUCCAGGACAUGCUCAGCGAAAUUGAAUUCUCCGUGAAGAUGCGGAGUACCCGCGGUUAGACGGAAAGACCCCGUGCACCUUUACUGCAGCUUCAGAGUGGCAUUAGGAUAGAACUGUGUAGCAUAGGUGGGAGGCUUUGAAGCAUUGGCGCCAGCCGGUGUGGAGCCAUAGGUGAAAUACCACCCUGUUAUGUUCUGAUGUCUAACCACGCACCGUUAUCCGGUGCUGGGACCCUCUGUGGCGGGUAGUUUGACUGGGGCGGUCGCCUCCUAAAGAGUAACGGAGGCGCGCGAAGGUUGGCUCAGGCCGGUUGGAAACCGGCUGUUAGAGUGCAAUGGCAUAAGCCAGCCUGACUGCGAGACUGACAAGUCGAGCAGAGACGAAAGUCGGUCAUAGUGAUCCGGU